CUCCCAUCUGAGAGAGCUGGAUCUGACUAAAAACGACCUGAAGGAUUCAGGAGUGAAGCAGCUGUGUGGUUUUGUGGAGAGUCCAGACUGCAAACUGGAGACUCUGGGAUUGGAGAACUGCAGUUUGUCAAAGAUCAGCUGUGAUUAUCUGGCCUCAGCUCUGAAGGACAACCCCUCCCAUCUGAAAGUGCUGAAUCUGAGAGGAAACAAGCUGAAGGAUUCAGACGUGAAGCAGCUGAUUGAUCUUCAGCAGAGUCCAGACUGCAGACUGGAGACUCUGAUAUGGAAGGAUUGAUCUCUGUCAGAGUGAGAGUGAACAUCCAGGAGUGUUGAGAGAGGAUCAGCUGGAUCCUGAUGAUCCAUUUGGAGUCUGGAUCUGGAUUU
This is a long non-coding RNA of Scomber japonicus (chub mackerel), 384 nucleotides long. RefSeq lists it as uncharacterized. The record is from RefSeq and is a predicted model, not a curated record. Lineage: Eukaryota; Metazoa; Chordata; Actinopteri; Scombriformes; Scombridae. The transcript has 3 exons.